UAGGUUUGAUUGCAAGACCAAACUCAAUGG
Molecule: non-coding RNA, 30 nt
Filed under: Mus musculus (house mouse)
Lineage: Eukaryota; Metazoa; Chordata; Mammalia; Rodentia; Muridae
Source: RNAcentral